GUUGGUGAGGUAACGGCUCACCAAGGCGACGAUCCCUAGCUGGUCUGAGAGGAUGACCAGCCACACUGGAACUGAGACACGGUCCAGACUCCUACGGGAGGCAGCAGUGGGGAAUAUUGCACAAUGGGCGCAAGCCUGAUGCAGCCAUGCCGCGUGUAUGAAGAAGGCCUUCGGGUUGUAAAGUACUUUCAGCGGGGAGGAAGGUGUUGUGGUUAAUAACCGCAGCAAUUGACGUUACCCGCAGAAGAAGCACCGGCUAACUCCGUGCCAGCAGCCGCGGUAAUACGGAGGGUGCAAGCGUUAAUCGGAAUUACUGGGCGUAAAGCGCACGCAGGCGGUCUGUCAAGUCGGAUGUGAAAUCCCCGGGCUCAACCUGGGAACUGCAUUCGAAACUGGCAGGCUUGAGUCUUGUAGAGGGGGGUAGAAUUCCAGGUGUAGCGGUGAAAUGCGUAGAGAUCUGGAGGAAUACCGGUGGCGAAGGCGGCCCCCUGGACAAAGACUGACGCUCAGGUGCGAAAGCGUGGGGAGCAAACAGGAUUAGAUACCCUGGUAGUCCACGCCGUAAACGAUGUCUACUUGGAGGUUGUGCCCUUGAGGCGUGGCUUCCGGAGCUAACGCGUUAAGUAGACCGCCUGGGGAGUACGGCCGCAAGGUUAAAACUCAAAUGAAUUGACGGGGGCCCGCACAAGCGGUGGAGCAUGUGGUUUAAUUCGAUGCAACGCGAAGAACCUUACCUGGUCUUGACAUCCACAGAAGAAUCCAGAGAUGGAUUUGUGCCUUCGGGAACUGUGAGACAGGUGCUGCAUGGCUGUCGUCAGCUCGUGUUGUGAAAUGUUGGGUUAAGUCCCGCAACGAGCGCAACCCUUAUCCUUUGUUGCCAGCGGUUAGGCCGGGAACUCAAAGGAGACUGCCAGUGAUAAACUGGAGGAAGGUG
RNAcentral lists this ribosomal RNA (934 nucleotides) under Salmonella enterica. RNAcentral describes it as "bacterial SSU rRNA". It matches the Rfam family "Bacterial small subunit ribosomal RNA", at positions 248 to 1175 of the family's 1533-position model. The record is from RNAcentral. Lineage: Bacteria; Pseudomonadati; Pseudomonadota; Gammaproteobacteria; Enterobacterales; Enterobacteriaceae.